Molecule: long non-coding RNA, 449 nt
Filed under: Vombatus ursinus (common wombat)
Lineage: Eukaryota; Metazoa; Chordata; Mammalia; Diprotodontia; Vombatidae
Description: lncRNA (ENSVURG00010004725.1)
Source: RNAcentral
UGUGAAACACUUCUUUGGGGCCUCAUAAACAACCACAGAACCACAAGUUGGGUACGGUGGCAGUCACACAAGACUGGGUCCGGGAUAUUGGUCAGCAGGCAGGGCAAAUCACACUGUCUGCAAACCACAGAGUUUCGUAGAGCGGUGAAAGAGAUCAUAUAGUCACCCAACUUUAAGAAAAGACUACAUAGGAAGGAGAAAACCAUGGCUUCGGACAGCAUGUUUGAGUCAUUUCCUUCAUACUCACAGUGCUUCAUGAGAGAGCUGGCUCCAGCACACCGGUGAGAAGGGCCUUCCGCCAAGCCUAAGCACAGGUGGCCCUGGUGCCCCAAGAGAAAAGGGAGCACAGAAGAGGAUCAACCCCAUUCCAAAGCUACUUUACCGUCUGUUCUUCUUAUUGCAUACUAGUAUUUGGAUGUUUGGAGAAUUCCUAGACAUGCAUAGAUUAG